GCGAGAGUGGCGGAAUUGGCAGACGCGCUGGAUUUAGGAUCCAGUGAGAUUUUCUCGUGGGGGUUCGAAUCCCCCCUCUCGCACCA
RNAcentral lists this transfer RNA (86 nucleotides) under Candidatus Latescibacterota bacterium. RNAcentral describes it as "Candidatus Latescibacteria bacterium tRNA-Leu". It matches the Rfam family "tRNA". Rfam says of the family: Transfer RNA (tRNA) molecules are approximately 80 nucleotides in length. Their secondary structure includes four short double-helical elements and three loops (D, anti-codon, and T loops). Further hydrogen bonds mediate the characteristic L-shaped molecular structure. tRNAs have two regions of fundamental functional importance: the anti-codon, which is responsible for specific mRNA codon recognition, and the 3' end, to which the tRNAs corresponding amino acid is attached (by aminoacyl-tRNA synthetases). tRNAs cope with the degeneracy of the genetic code in two manners: having more than one tRNA (with a specific anti-codon) for a particular amino acid; and 'wobble' base-pairing, i.e. permitting non-standard base-pairing at the 3rd anti-codon position. RNAcentral also lists the same sequence under 1 other name. The record is from RNAcentral. Lineage: Bacteria; Pseudomonadati; Candidatus Latescibacterota.